CAGACACAGCAGUGAACCUCAGAUUAUCUUGGAUCCUUGGAGAAUUUUUUUUUAAAAAGAAAAAGCUCUGUCUGAAAUAAUGGCAUAUCCUGACCCCCAAAUAACCCCCACUUCCCCCCUACCACCCCCCACUGCCCUCAAUGCCCCCCCCCCCCCCCCACCACCACUCUACUACCCACCCAUACUGCCCCCAUGACCCCCCACUCCUGUGAGUUCAUUCACCUUUUUCCUGAACAUUCUGAUGUUCUUUGACAAACAGCUUACAUAAAAUAAAACGAAACAGAGUGGUGGGGGGCGUGGGGGGGGACAGAGAGACAGAAACAGAAAGAGAGAGCGACAGAGAGAGAGAGAGACAGAAACAGAAAGAGAGAGCGACAGAGAGAGAGAGACAGAAACAGAAAGAGAGAGCGACAGAGAGAGAGAGACAGAAACAGAAAGAGAGAGCGACAGAGAGAGAGACGUGUAAAUGUAAGAGUAUAAAUGGUGUUAUUAAGGUAAUGGAGUGUGAAAGUGAACACGAGAAGUGAAUUACAACACACAUGUUCGUUCUUUCUUUCUUUCUUUCUUUCUUUCAGUGCAGUAAGUGUACUCUGUGUUAUUAAAAGCAGUUUAUUCUGAUUGAUGUGGUGUGUGUCGUUGUACAGAUGUGGUGAUGUGUGAUGUUGGAAAUGUUUUGAUGUCAUUGUACAGAUGGGUGUUUGAUACAGAUGUUUUCAUGUGUGAAGUUUUACAGAUGAUGUGAUGCGUGUCAUAUAGAUGUGGCAAUGUGCAUCAUUGUACAAAUGUGAUGAGAUGUGUGUCAUUGUACAAAUGUGAUGAGAUGUGUGUCAUUGUACAAAUGUGAUGAGGUGUGUGUCAUUGUACAAAUGUGAUGAGGUGUGUGUCAUUGUACAAAUGUGAUGAGGUGUGUGUCAUUGUACAAAUGUGAUGAGGUGUGUGUCAUUGUACAAAUGUGAUGAGGUGUGUUGUACAAAUGUAGUGAGGUGUCAUUGUGCAGAUGUGGUUAUGUGAUGUCUGUUGUGGUACAGAUAUGGUGAUGUCACUGUACAGAUGUGGUGGUGUGAUGUGUAUCAUUGUACAGAUAUGGUGAUUUGUCAUUGUGUAGAUGUGGUGAUGUCAUUGUGCAG
Long non-coding RNA from Ictalurus punctatus (channel catfish), 1127 nucleotides. The record is from Ensembl. Lineage: Eukaryota; Metazoa; Chordata; Actinopteri; Siluriformes; Ictaluridae.